GAUGAACGCUAGCUACAGGCUUAACACAUGCAAGUCGAGGGGUAGCAGGGUAGCAAUACCGCUGACGACCGGCGCACGGGUGAGUAACACGUAUCCAACCUUCCCAUCACUCGGGGAUAGCCUUUCGAAAGAAAGAUUAAUACCCGAUAGUACUUUUUUGAGGCAUCUUAAGAAAGUUAAAGAUUUAUUGGUGAUGGAUGGGGAUGCGUUCCAUUAGAUUGUUGGUGAGGUAACGGCUCACCAAGUCUUCGAUGGAUAGGGGUUCUGAGAGGAAGGUCCCCCAAUUGGUACUGAGACACGGACCAAACUCCUACGGGAGCAGCAGUGAGGAAUAUUGGUCAAUGGGCGAGAGCCUGAACCAGCCAAGUAGCGUGAAGGAUGAAGGUCCUAUGGAUUGUAAACUUCUUUUAUAGUAGAAUAAAGUGAUCCACGUGUGGUAUUUUUGAUGUAUACUAUGAAUAAGGAUCGGCUAACUCCGUGCCAGCAGCCGCGGUAAUAGUGU
RNAcentral lists this ribosomal RNA (502 nucleotides) under uncultured bacterium. RNAcentral describes it as "bacterial SSU rRNA". It matches the Rfam family "Bacterial small subunit ribosomal RNA", at positions 28 to 528 of the family's 1533-position model. The record is from RNAcentral.